UUGGCAAAAUUAAAUAAAAAUUUUGUAUUGUUCAGACUUCAGUAGGGGAUAAUAACAUUAUGAAAUCGCCAUUAGUGUUUACAGUAAAUGCUUAUAUCACAUCUCCCCCACAUGUGACCACUUUCACGUAACCCAUCUGUUAGUGCGUUUCUGGACUGACAAUUACUUUCACUUUCGUUGGUGCCUUAUCCAAAGGUUUGAAACCAACUUCUCUGCUCUUCCACCGAUGAAAUACUGAACAUAUUAAAAAUAUUAAUUGGAUCGAACUGUUCUCUUUUGUUUUGAGUGUAGUGUCUCUGAGAUAAAGAGCAAACGACGAAAGAAAGCUUUCUAUUACAUGGUAUCUCACCAGAAUCAAUCUUUUUUGGACCGUAUUGCAAUGAGGAAAGCAAGAUGAUCGUUGUGUAUGAGUAUAU
Brassica oleracea var. oleracea is the source of this 416-nucleotide long non-coding RNA. RefSeq lists it as uncharacterized. The record is from RefSeq and is a predicted model, not a curated record. The transcript has 2 exons. NCBI's taxonomy places the organism in Eukaryota, Viridiplantae, Streptophyta, Magnoliopsida, Brassicales, Brassicaceae.